RNAcentral lists this ribosomal RNA (253 nucleotides) under uncultured bacterium. RNAcentral describes it as "partial 16S ribosomal RNA". It matches the Rfam family "Bacterial small subunit ribosomal RNA", at positions 524 to 776 of the family's 1533-position model. The record is from RNAcentral.
UACAGAGGGUGCGAGCGUUAAUCGGAAUUACUGGGCGUAAAGCGCGCGUAGGCGGCUUUGCAAGCCGGAUGUGAAAUCCCCGGGCUUAACCUGGGAACUGCAUUCGGGACUGCAUUGCUAGAGUAUGGGAGAGGGAAGUGGAAUUUCAGGUGUAGCGGUGAAAUGCGUAGAUAUCUGAAGGAACAUCAGUGGCGAAAGCGACUUCCUAGACCAAUACUGACGCCCAUGUGCGAAAGCGUGGGGAGCAAACAGG